Molecule: ribosomal RNA, 562 nt
Filed under: uncultured Ascomycota
Lineage: Eukaryota; Fungi; Ascomycota
Description: eukaryotic LSU rRNA
Rfam family: 5.8S ribosomal RNA (bases 194-347)
Source: RNAcentral
CUUGGUCAUUUAGAGGAAGUAAAAGUCGUAACAAGGUCUCCGUAGGUGAACCUGCGGAGGGAUCAAUAUCGAACCUGGCCCCCUGGCCACGUCUACCUUGCAAACCCGUGGAAGCGAACCGUGCUUCGGCGCCUCGGCGUCGAGUUUAUGCUGCAGUUGGUAGUUUGCGUCUGAAUCAAACCGAAGAACAUAAAACUUUCAACAACGGAUCUCUUGGUUCUGGCAUCGAUGAAGAACGCAGCAAAAUGCGAUAAGUAAUGUGAAUUGCAGAAUUCAGUGAAUCAUCGAAUUUUUGAACGCACAUUGCGCCCUUUGGUAUUCCGAAGGGCAUGCCUGUUCGAGCGUCAUUUCACCCAUCAAGCUACGCUUGGUGUUGGGCGUUUGUUCCGCCAUUGCGCGUGGACUCGCCUCAAAGUAAUCGGCGGUCCGUAUUUGGCGUGUAGCACAGCAGACUGGUUGCUGCAACGCCCAAGAACGUACCUGCCGCAAGGCAUCAUUUUGUUUUCGACCUCGGAUCAGGUAGGGAUACCCGCUGAACUUAAGCAUAUCAAUAAGCGGAGGA